UUGGAGGGCAAGUCUGGUGCCAGCAGCCGCGGUAAUUCCAGCUCCAAUAGCGUAUAUUAAAGUUGUUGCAGUUAAAAAGCUCGUAGUUGAAUUUCGGGGUUCUUCCGUUGGUCAGGCUAACAAGUCUGUACUAGCGUGUAGAAUCUCUACCUUCUGGGGAACCAUCAUGUUAUUAAUUUAGCGUGGUGGGAAACCAGGACCUUUACCUUGAAAAAAUUAGAGUGUUCAAAGCAGGCUUACGUCUGAAUACAUUAGCAUGGAAUAAUAAAAUAGGACGGUGGUCCUGUUUUGUUGGUUUCUGAAUCACCGUAAUGAUUAAUAGGGAUAGUUGGGGGCAUUAGUAUUCAAUUGUCAGAGGUGAAAUUCUUGGAUUUAUUGAAGACUAACUACUGCGAAAGCAUUUGCCAAGGAUGUUUUCAUUAAUCAAGAACGAAAGUUAGGGGAUCGAAGACGAUCAGAUACCGUCGUAGUCUUAACCAUAAACUAUGCCGACUAGGGAUCGGAUGAUGUUAAUUUUUUAAUGACUCAUUCGGCGCCUUACGGGAAAC
This 548-nucleotide ribosomal RNA is filed under the name uncultured Glomeromycotina. RNAcentral's name for it is "SSU rRNA". It matches the Rfam family "Eukaryotic small subunit ribosomal RNA", at positions 548 to 1098 of the family's 1831-position model. The record is from RNAcentral. Lineage: Eukaryota; Fungi; Glomeromycota.